RNAcentral lists this transfer RNA (75 nucleotides) under Candidatus Omnitrophota bacterium. Its description in RNAcentral is "Candidatus Omnitrophica bacterium (groundwater metagenome) tRNA-Pro". It matches the Rfam family "tRNA". Rfam says of the family: Transfer RNA (tRNA) molecules are approximately 80 nucleotides in length. The record is from RNAcentral. Lineage: Bacteria; Pseudomonadati; Candidatus Omnitrophota.
CGGGGUGUAGCUCAGCCUGGCUAGAGCGCUUGCUUUGGGAGCAAGAUGUCGAGUGUUCAAAUCACUCCACCCCGA